Molecule: unclassified non-coding RNA, 21 nt
Filed under: Mus musculus (house mouse)
Lineage: Eukaryota; Metazoa; Chordata; Mammalia; Rodentia; Muridae
Description: oocyte_clustered_small_RNA7253
Source: RNAcentral
UGACCCUGGCAUUCCCCUGUG